RNAcentral lists this long non-coding RNA (1972 nucleotides) under Capsicum annuum. RNAcentral's name for it is "long non-coding RNA (CANN_LNC001532)". The record is from RNAcentral. Lineage: Eukaryota; Viridiplantae; Streptophyta; Magnoliopsida; Solanales; Solanaceae.
UGGAAUACUAUUUUUGAUGCUGAAAUUGAAUUUAUCAACAUGAAGUCAUUAAUUGUUGAAGGGCGUGACAAUUUCAUCCAAGAGUAUAAUUUAGUUACUUAGUUAUAUAUAUUUUUAACUCGUUUCCUCAUAUUGAUUCUUUUUCAUGUGGACUAAACACAUGACGUAAGAUUCGAUAUCAGGACCUUCGUCCUCUUUGCUAUCAUGUUAAAGUAUUUGACAAUCUCAUCUAAAAACUUAAGUUACCAGAAAAAAUAUACUUUUAUUUACUUCAUUGUAUUUUCAACAGCGGAGUACGCAUUGUCCAUGAAAACAAAAUGUUUUUGGAGUUGGAAUCGGAGUUAGAGUUAUAUUUGAUCAUAAAUAUAAAUUGGAGUUGUUUUUGAUUUUUUUGAAAGAAGUAGGAGUGAAAAAAGUGAAAACAAGUUUUAAUUUUUUCAUUUUUCAAAAUAUAACUUCACGUUGUAUUUAGAAUUCUCAUGAUCAAAUAUCAACUUGGAGUUGUAUUUGAAAUAAAAUAAAAAAGAUUCAAAAAAAGAAAAAAUUCUCAUGAACAGAUGGACGUGUUUUGAUUUAAGUAUUGAAACUUCUAGCUGCAGCAAAGAUGUUAUGAACCAAUUGUUCCACAUUGGAAAAAUAGAGAAAUGCUAAGGGGUUUAUAGGCCAAAUGGGUUCUCCCACCUAUCAGGUUAGUCUUUUGGGUUGGGCUCUCCCGUUUCGUUUAUAACAUUGGGGCUUUCAUUGAGAAUCCCACGCGUUGGGCCGUGACUCGAAGUGGUAGCCUGGACCCAAGAGGGGUGCCAGCUGUGAUCAACUAGGCGUAGCCGUGACCAACAAGGACCGAUCCACGUGUGGAGUCGCGCAUUGGGCCGUGACUCGGAAUGGUGGCCUGCGUGCCAGGAGUGGUGGCCUGGACCCAAGAGGGGUACCAGCUGUGACCAACUGAGCGUAGCCGUGACCAACAAGGAUCGAUCCACGUGUGGAGCCGCGAUUCGGAGUGGUGGCCUGUGCGCCAGGAGUGGUGGCCUGGACCUAAGAGAGCUGUCAGCCGUGACCAACUGGGCUCAGCCGUGACCAACGAGGUCGUUGGUUCUCAAGCGGAGGCGAUUGUUAUGAACCAAUUGUCCCACAUUAGAAAAAUAGAGAAAUUUUAAGGGAUUUAUAGGUCAAAUGGGUUCUCCCACCUUUCAGGCUAGUCUUUUGGGUUGAGCCCUCCCGUUUAAUUUAUAACAAAAGGGGCGUUAAAGGUCUAAGGAUUUCUCCCGUUUAAUUUAUAACAAAAGGGGUGUUAAAGGUCUAAGGAUUUCUGCAGUUUAUGUACUGGCAGGAUGAAGCAUAUAAAUGUAAAGGUUGAACAAUGAGUUAUCCCACCUAUCAGGCUAGUCUUUUGGGUUGAGCCCUUCCGUUUAGUUUAUCACAAAAGGGGUGUUAAAGGUCUAAGGAUUUCCCUAGUUUAUGUAUUGGCAGGAUGAAGCAUAUAAAUGUAAAGGUUGAACCAUUAAAUUUUGAACACUAAUGUUGAUAUUCACCAAUAAUUUUAAAUAUUGGGAGGUAAACAUAAAAUAUGAAAAUGUGUGGAGUGGUGGCCUGGAUCCAAGAGGGGUGUCAGUCGUGACCAAUGAGGAUCGAUCCACGUGUGGAGCCGCAAUUCGGAGUGGUGACCUGUGCGCCAGGAGUGGUGGUCUGGACCUAAGAGAGGUGUCAGCCGUGACCAACUGGGCUCAGCCAUGACCAACGAGGUCGUUGGUUCUCAAGCGGAGGCGAUUGUUAUGAAUCAAUUGUCCCACAUUAGAAAAAUAGAGAAAUUUUAAGGGAUUUAUAGGUCAAAUGAGUUCUCCCACCUAUCAGGGUAGUCUUUUGGGUUGGGCCCUCCCGUUUAGUUUAUAACAAAAGGGGGUGUUAAAGGUCUAAGGAUUUCCGCAGUUUAUGUACUGGCAGGAUGAAGCAUAUAAAUGUAAAGGUUGAACCAUUA